CUCCAUUCUUUAAGCACUGAUUCGAGCACCGAUUAAGCACCGGCACCGUUGACACCGGUGUCGUAUAAAACCUAAACGACACCCAUCCCUACUCCUAACAUGCCUCCUUCCUCCUCUUCCUUUUCUUUCAGCCAUCAGUAGCAUGACAGUCUUAUUCAUUAUGAUCUACACAUUUUAUUUGGUAAAGCUUUAGUUCAGAAUGCCCUUACUAAUGCAACACUCCCCAUUUACCCAGGCUGGCACUUGGAGUACACUGGCUUGUGGCCCCUUGUGCCAGCAUUAGUGCUUUCCUCCUUUCUGCUGCUCACAAUUCACCGAUCACACUUUGACUAUUACCAUUAAAACAAGAGUCAGAAGAUUUAGCUACAGAGCUACGAUACUUUAAAUGUUAAAGUUUCAUGAUUCACGUGUGGAUGUUGCAUAAGAAAAGCAUGAUGUAUAAAGUAUAAGUGUUUCUGACCCGUUGUUCAUGUUCCUUCAUUUUUCCCUGAAAUCUAUCAAAUACUGUCCAACAGACUGAUGGCACAGCAGUGCAGAGGCUGCAGAACCUGCGUCUGAAGCCUCUGGUUUAAAAUAGAGCAACAUGGGGUUAGUAUCUUGCCCAAGGACAUCAUGCAGACUGGCAUUAAACCACCAACCUUCUGGUUAGCAGGUGACCUGCUCGACCACCUGAGUUCCAGCCGCCUCAUCAAAGUGACCAAUCACAUUAGAAUCCUGUCCUGCUUUGGGCUCCGCCUCCAAACCAUCCAAAGCAGGUUUAUUUGCACCAUGUAUGCAGGUAAACUCAAACAUCCAUUCAGCUGCUUCAGAAGGAAAAUGUCAGCUUGUGGUUUCAAUCACAGGAAACUCACAGGUUAGAGUCCAGCCAGAGGGCUGCUGUUGUUUAUCUGUAAAGUCUUUACAUUUACAGAAAUAAAUAAUUAUGUGGACACAUCUGGAUCAUCAGCAAACAUGAAACCAGGCGACCACCAGGACCAAGCUGACUGCUGACACAGAGUUCAUACUCUAACUGCUAGCUGCUCUGCUAGCUAAGUGAACUGAUGUUAAAGUGACAGCAGACUGAGUCAAAGACAGAAACCUUAUUUAAACAGCAAAUAUUCACCGGCUUCACUUCCUGAUCCAGGAUUCAAAGAGGACGUUGCACUUACUCAGCUUCUUCCCAUGAACGUCUUCACUCUGCAGCUCUGCUGUCUGGACCAGGUCUGUGUAGAAACAGAGACAAGCUUCUGCUUCAUCAGUCCUCUGUGUCUGCAGGCUGAAGUCACAUUAAACACUUCACACCAGCAAAGAGUCUGAAGCUCACAGGUCAAAGGUCAGCUGCUGCACCUUGUGUGAUAUUGUUUGAUCAAUAAUUAACCUGCAGCAGGUUUCUGCUCCAAGUCCAACACACUGAACAACCCUGAGAACAAAUCAGAUGAUGUGGGUGUGUCUGCAAGCUUCAAUAGUAUUAAACACCUCACACCAGCAAUGAGUCUGAAGCUCGCAGGUUAAAGGUCAAAGGUCAGCUGCCACACUGUAUAUAACAUUGUAAUAUGUAUACAACCUGACUGUGGGCGUGUGUGCAGCCAUAAACAGUUUAAACAUUAAACACUGAACCAUAAAAGAAGCUUAAGCUGCAGCUCACAGGUCAAAGGUCAGCUGCUGCAGCCAGUUAUGACUUUACAUAAAUCAUCAUGUUUUCCCUCUCAGCACUUGGGCUGUUUUGACUCAGCUACACUAACAGCAUCAUCCAGUUAGAGAGGAAACUGUAUAAUGCAAUGAUGAUGUUCCAGCGUCAUGUUGUUGCUCCUCCUCCACAUGCUUACCUGCCACAGUUUAACUCCGCCUCUUAAACUGUCAUGUCACCUGAUCUGCAUGUUUUGUUGUACGAUGACGUCAUCUUGACGUUGACGAGGAG
This is a long non-coding RNA of Oreochromis aureus, 1897 nucleotides long. RefSeq lists it as uncharacterized. The record is from RefSeq and is a predicted model, not a curated record. The transcript is spliced from 2 exons. Lineage: Eukaryota; Metazoa; Chordata; Actinopteri; Cichliformes; Cichlidae.